UACGGGGGGGGCAAGCGUUGUUCGGAAUUACUGGGCGUAAAGGGCCAGUAGGCGGCCAACUAAGUCCGACGUGAAAUCCCAAGGCUUAACCUUGGAACUGCGUCGGAUACUGGAUGGCUUGAAUUCGGGAGAGGGAUGCAGAAUUCCAGGUGUAGCGGUGAAAUGCGUAGAUAUCGAGAGGAACACCUGCGGCGAAGGCGGGUUGCUGGGCUGACACUGACGCUGAGGCGCGAAAGCUAGGGGAGCGAACGGG
RNAcentral lists this ribosomal RNA (253 nucleotides) under uncultured bacterium. Its description in RNAcentral is "partial 16S ribosomal RNA". It matches the Rfam family "Bacterial small subunit ribosomal RNA", at positions 524 to 776 of the family's 1533-position model. The record is from RNAcentral.